GUAGUUGUGGCCGAGUGGUUAAGGCGAUGGACUGCGGUUUCCCUGCGCAGGUUCAAAUCCUGCCAGCUACG
Pseudophryne corroboree (corroboree frog) is the source of this 71-nucleotide non-coding RNA. The record is from the annotation of a RefSeq genome assembly. Lineage: Eukaryota; Metazoa; Chordata; Amphibia; Anura; Myobatrachidae.